GAAUCUUAUAAGAGGUCCAGCCUGCCCAGUGACCCUGUUCAACGGCCGCGGUAUCCUAACCGUGCGAAGGUAGCGUAAUCACUUGUUCUUUAAUUGCGGACUAGUAUGAAUGGCAUCACGAGGGUUACACUGUCUCCUUUUUCUAAUCAGUGAAACUAAUUUCCCCGUGAAGAAGCGGGGAUAAAAUUAUAAGACGAGAAGACCCUAUGGAGCUUUAAACAAUGUAGCAAUUACUUUAAAAUAUCUAGACUUACGAGUUUUAAAAUUCUUCAAGUGAUAUGACUGCAAGUUUUUGGUUGGGGUGACCACGGAGUAUAACACAACCUCCAUGUUGAAAAUCUUUCAAGCUAAGAAUAACCCAUCUAAGCAUCAACAUACUGACAUUCAUUGACCCAAUACAUUUGAUCAACGAACCAAGUUACCCUAGGGAUAACAGCGCAAUCCACUUCGAGAGCUCCUAUCGACAAGUGGGUUUACGACCUCGAUGUUGGAUCAGGGUACCCCAGUGGUGCAGCCGCUACUAAAGGUUCGUUUGUUCAACGAUUAAAACCCUACGUGAUCUGAGUUCA
Molecule: ribosomal RNA, 569 nt
Filed under: Poyntonophrynus damaranus (Damaraland pygmy toad)
Lineage: Eukaryota; Metazoa; Chordata; Amphibia; Anura; Bufonidae
Description: partial 16S ribosomal RNA
Rfam family: Bacterial large subunit ribosomal RNA
Source: RNAcentral